UUGUAUGUUUAACAUACACUAAGCAUUUACAUGUCCUGUUUCUUAGCUGCCAUCUUUCAGACAGAGGGGUUACUGAUGUCGGCCUGAAGCUGCCCGCUCUCCGUGAGGCAUUCGCUGUGAGUAAAUCCUUUUUUCGGCUGCUGUUAUUGUGCAGGUAAAGUCCACUCGGCUUUAAUUUAUAUUGUGUGCUGUCUCAUGUUCAGACUCUGCUUACCAGCAUCCACAACCAGAACUUCUUUUUCCUGGUUGGAAAGAAGAUCGUCAUGCGUCUGGCAGCGGCUAACAUCCAGGAUGUAGUUGGGGUGAAGUUGGCCUCCGAGGCCUUGAUUCAAUUCCUGAGGACGCCUCCUUAUCAGGAUUCGAUUGAAGCAGAGAGCUCCUCCUGUGUAAGCUAAUAAUUGCCUGUGUGAAGUGACAUGUUUAAAUACAGUAGAUUUGUAUAAUAUAGUAAACAGGACUCUAAUAUGUAAUGCUAAUUUCUUUUUGUAACUUUUUGUAUUGUAGCUUAAACUCAGUGACACUGUGUUGGAUGUGUGUGUGUAUAAUUUGUCAACAGGAUCACCUAACAAUUUCCCGGAUAUCGCCGAUAUUAAAUGGCAGUAUGGUAGGUGCGAGAGCUCUACAACGCAUCUUGUCAAAUGCGGGGUAGGAGAGGUGGAUUACACGAUCGAGCAAGGCGGCCUCUGUCGCGUGUUCCUCUGCCCUCUAUCAUUCUUGCUAACAUGCGGUCCCUUCGAAACAAAUCUGAUGAAGUGCAAGCCCAUGUCCGAUAUUAUCAUGAAUUUAAAGAAGCAUAUAUCCUGGCCCUGACAGAAACAUGGCUGAGAAAAGCGGACUCAGACGCUGGCAUUACAUUGGAUGCUUUUGGUGCUCCUUUUCGUAUGGAUCUGGUGUCAGUGAACACUGGCAAGUCGCGAGGGGGCGGGGUGUGUGCUUGCAUAUAAAAGAGCGCUGGUGCAAAACAACGUUAGUGAGAGAAAAGUUGUGUACAAAAGAUAUCAAACUAUUCUCAGUCUUACUGCGCCCCUUCUAUCUACCCAGGGAAUUCUCGCAGAUCUUCGUAACUGUUGUUUAUAUCCACCCGAUAAUCUAUAAUACCUAAUCUAUAAUACUGUCCAGAAACUACAGGCAGUGCCCCCCGAUGCCCCAAAUCUCAUUUUAGGCGAUUUUAAUCAUUGUUCAUUGGACAAAAUCUUAAAAUGUUUUAAUAAAUAUGUGUCUUGCCCAACCAGAAACGGGAAGAUACUUGUUCAGUGUUAUGGUUCCAUUAAAUGUGCCUACAGUAUAUAAGGUGGCCCAGAUAAUAUUGGCAGCCAUGUUCUUUCUUGUUGUGUGGAACAGCUAGGCCCUAUUUUCUCUUACAUUUUUAAUCAAUCUAUGUGUCAACAGAAUGUCCCUGACGUAUGGAAACAGUCAAUCAUAGUUCCUGUUGCAAAGAGUAGCUACCCUAAGACUUUAAAUGACUACAUACCCAUAGCCCUUACGUCAGUUGUGAUGAAGUGUUUUGAAAAGCUGAACAAAAGAAAACUAUCAUCUAUGACAAAUUGCCUCCUUGACCCACUACAGUUUGCAUAUAGAGUAAAUAGAGGGGUCCAGGAUGCAACUGUAACAGUACUUAACCUCAUUCUUAACCACCUGGAGGGCAAUAGAAAUCAUGCCAGACUACUGUUUGUGGAUUUCUCGUCAGCUUUUAACACCAUUCAGCCCCACUUGCUGGUUGAGAAGCUCUUACAUCAGUUUAAACUGGAGGCCAAGCUUGUGGGUUGGAUAUUAGAUUUCCUCACAAAUAGAUCACAGCGAGUGAGGGUAAAUGGCCAUCUCUCUGACUAGGCCCUUACAUCAACUGGCUGAACGCAGGAAUGUGUUCUUUCCCCCUUCUCUAUAUUCUGUACACUAACGACUGUCGCUCUGUGAUUGAUAACCAAUACUUUGUGAAGUUUGCUGAUGAUAAGGUUAUUGUCAGCCUAUUGAACAAUGAGGAAACUUCACACGGUCUGGUCAUCAAUCACUUUGUUACAUGGUGUAAGUAUGAUUUUCUUGAACUGAAUGCCUCUAAGACCAAGGACAUGUGUAUUGAUUUUAGGCGUAAUGUCACUAACACCGAGAAAACUAGUAUAAAUGGUCAGGAUAUAGAGGUUGUUACAGAGUAUAAGUACUUAGGAUCCAUUAUUGAUGAUAAGCUGUGUUUUGAUUCAAAUACCAGUUUGCUUUGCAUUGCUUGAGGAAGCUGUCAAAGUUUAAUGUGGAUAAGACCCUGUUGACUCUUUUCUACAGGUCUUUUGUUGAGUCAGUUGUUACCUUCUCCUUAAUCUGCUGGUAUGGGUCCAUCACUGUAAAACAAAAAAAACUCCCUUUCGAGGUUAAUUAAGGUGAGCAGCAGCAUCACAGGUUCUAGGAAGAAAGGUCUGGAGUAACUUUGUCAGAAGCAGAUGUUAAGGAGGGUUGAGUCUAUGUUGUCAGAUAAUUCUCAUCCCUUACGGGCUGAAUUUCAGAUGUUGCCAUCGGGAUUACGCUUUAAACUCCCAAAAAUCCAGAACCAACAGAUAUAAACACUCUUUUGUCCCUGCAGCCAUUCUGCUUCUCAAUUCUGCAAAGAACUAUAGAUAACUUUAUUAUUUACUGUU
This is a long non-coding RNA of Tachysurus fulvidraco (yellow catfish), 2624 nucleotides long. RefSeq lists it as uncharacterized. The transcript is spliced from 2 exons. NCBI's taxonomy places the organism in Eukaryota, Metazoa, Chordata, Actinopteri, Siluriformes, Bagridae. The record is from RefSeq and is a predicted model, not a curated record.